GAAAGCUGGAAGGGGCAAGGCGAGUUCAGUUCACCAUGGGGCUGUUUGGGAAAACUCAGGAGAAGCCACCCAAAGAGCUAGUCAUUGAAUGGUCAUUGAAGAUAAGAAAGGAAAUGAGAGCUGUUGACAGGCAAAUAAGAGAUAUACAAAGAGAAGAAGAAAAAGUGAAACGAUCUUUGAAAGAUGCUGCCAAGAAAGGCCAGAAGGAUGUCUGUGUAGUUCUGUCUAAGGAGAUGAUAGGGUCCAGAAAGGGUGUGAGCAAGCUGUACGCAUCCAAAGUACACAUGAACUUGGUGUUCAUGGGCAUGAAGAACCAGCUCGUGGUCCUGUGAGUGGCUGGUUCCCUGCAGAAGAGCACAGAGGUGACGAAGGCCAUGCAAAGUCUUAUAAAGAUCCCAGAAAUCCAGGUCACCAUAUGAAAGCUGUCCAAACAGAUGAUAGAGGGAUCAUAGAGGAGGUGUUAGAGGACAUUUUUGAAAGCAUGGAUGAUCAGGAAGAAAUGGAGGAAGAAGCAGAAAUGGAAAUCAACAAAAUUAUGUUUGAAAUUAAGGCAGAAGUCUUGGGCAAAGCACCCAAUAAAGUGACCGAUGCCCUUCUAGAACCUGAACCUCCAGGAGCCAUGGCAGCCUCAGAUGAUGACGAGGAGGAAGAGGCUCUGGAGGCCACGCAGUCCCGGCUGGCCACACUGCGAAGUUAG
Carlito syrichta (Philippine tarsier) is the source of this 697-nucleotide RNA transcript. It is a transcript of the gene named charged multivesicular body protein 3 pseudogene, with no coding region annotated. The transcript has a single exon. NCBI's taxonomy places the organism in Eukaryota, Metazoa, Chordata, Mammalia, Primates, Tarsiidae. The record is from RefSeq and is a predicted model, not a curated record.